This 248-nucleotide ribosomal RNA is filed under the name uncultured bacterium. Its description in RNAcentral is "partial 16S ribosomal RNA". The stretch from base 26 to 248 matches the Rfam family "Bacterial small subunit ribosomal RNA", at positions 549 to 776 of the family's 1533-position model. The record is from RNAcentral.
CACAGGUGGGAUUGCGUUUUUAAUUAUUGAAUAGGCAUUAAGAGUGAUUAGGUGGCUUAAAGCUAGUGGUUGGCACCCCUUGCCAAGCACAAGACAAGCUUAUACUUGGCUAGAGUUAAAAGAGGAAAGUUAGAGGAAUAACCAAAGGAAGGAUGAAAUCUAUAGAUGUUGGUUGGAACAUCAAAGGCGACAGCAUCACUUUAUUUUUUAACUGACACUGAAUCACUAAAGUGUGGGGAGCGAACUGG